UGGCGGACGGGUGAGUAACGCGUGGAAAACCUGCCGUAUACUGGGGGAUAACACUUAGAAAUAGGUGCUAAUACCGCAUAAGCGCACAGCUUCGCAUGAAGCGGUGUGAAAAACUCUGGUGGUAUACGAUGGUUCCGCGUCUGAUUAGCUAGUUGGUGGGGUAAUGGCCUACCAAGGCAACGGUCAGUAGCCGGCCUGAGAGGGUGAACGGCCACAUUGGGACUGAGACACGGCCCAAACUCCUACGGGAGGCAGCAG
RNAcentral lists this ribosomal RNA (258 nucleotides) under uncultured bacterium. Its description in RNAcentral is "partial 16S ribosomal RNA". It matches the Rfam family "Bacterial small subunit ribosomal RNA", at positions 96 to 354 of the family's 1533-position model. The record is from RNAcentral.